UACGUAGGGACCGAGCGUUGUCCGGAAUCAUUGGGCGUAAAGAGCGUGUAGGCGGCCACUUAAGUCCUGCGUGAAAUCUUGCGGCUCAACCGCAAGCGGUCGUGGGAAACUGGGUGGCUAGAGUGCGGGAGAGGAGAGUGGAAUUCCUGGUGUAGCGGUGGAAUGCGCAGAUAUCAGGAAGAACACCCGUGGCGAAGGCGGCUCUCUGGAACGCAACUGACGCUGAGACGCGAAAGUGUGGGGAGCGAACAGG
This 253-nucleotide ribosomal RNA is filed under the name uncultured bacterium. RNAcentral's name for it is "partial 16S ribosomal RNA". It matches the Rfam family "Bacterial small subunit ribosomal RNA", at positions 524 to 776 of the family's 1533-position model. The record is from RNAcentral.